CUCUGCUGUUUGUGGGGCGUGCUAGAAACGUGGUCCUAAAAAGAAUGGCGUCCAUUUACAUAAUGCUUUGUUUGCGUUUCGCAAGUUUCUUUCGGUUAAAGCCACAGAAACCCCACCUCCUGCCCUUGUGUCGUUUCCACCGCGGCACCCUUUUCCGACAUUAGAAACAAUAGUGUACGCCUGUGGAGGCCUCGUUUGUUCAGGGGCUGCCGGCCAGGGCUUCAGGACGUUUCUGCGGCUUUCCCCGCGCGGCCUGGGCUCCCGCGGCUGCUUUUCGGGCCCAUGGGCGCAGCCACUGCGCCAGGCUCAAGGGGGGCGGCCCCGUCAGGGCCCGCCAUCUUGGAAGGCCUUUUUUGCCGGUUCUUCCCGCUGAGGAAGUGUCGCUCAAGACGCUGGCCUAUGAGUUGUGAUUUCUGCCUUUUCCCCUUCCUCCUUGGGCUAAGCCAGACCAGAAAGGGCCCCGUGCGCAACGUGCUUCACAAUCUCUCAGGGAAAGCGGCUAACGUGGCGCUACUCCGCCUCCCCUGUUCCUUACCCUUGGGGCGGCCGCCAUGUUUCCUGAACACAAAAUGGCGACACGUGGUUAGCAUUCGUCGCCAACGAGAAAUUGGGGUCGGCCCGAAAGCUCUAGAAUGCACCCCUCUUCCUCCCCGGGGCCUUCCACCUCCGCGAGUUUUAUGACUUAAAAAAGCCCACAGGCUGGUCUGAAGAGGAAGACAAACAUAAAGAUGAAGUGCUUAAUUCAAGGUCACACAAUGUCGGGGAUGGACCUCCAGAUUUCCUUACUGGUGAGACGUGGUCUUGUAACACAGUGGUUAAGAAUGUGACUUUGGAGCCAGCCUGCUAGGGGCUGAAUUCUGACUCAGCCAUUUACUAACUGUGUGACCUUAGGGAGGAGGACCUGGUUGAUAGAAGAAUUUAUCUCGUAGUCUUAACAUCCACUGUAAUUCCAAACUUUGAGGACGAUAGAGAUCAGUGGGCUUUGACUGCCCAGCAUGCAGUCUCCAUUCUUAGGUGGGUUCCCAAGCCUGUAAAAUGUAAGCCUUAUGCUGCUGAGGGCCAUCUUGCCACCCUGAGGGAAACGCUGCCUGAGAAUGAAACAAGCAUAAGUAAAAGCUGAGCUGUGAGAUGGAGCAAGAUGAAGGCCACAUGACAUCUUUGGAGCACCUGGAUCUAACUGUGCCUUAAGCUAGUCUAACCCUGAACAUUUCAUCAUUUCAUUGACAUGAGCCCAGGUUUUCUUUUUUUUUGGAUGGAGUCUUGCUCUGUCGCCCAGGCUGGAGUGCAGUAGCUCAAUCUCGGCUCACUGCAAGCUCCACCUCCCGGGUUCACGCCAUUCUCCUGCCUUAGCCUCCCAAGUAGCUGGGACAACAGGCGCCCACCACCACUCCCAGCUAAUUUUUUGUAUUUUUAGUAGAGACGGGGUUUUACCAUGUUAGCCGGGAUGGUCUUGAUCUCCUGACCUCAUGAUCCGCCCGCCUCGGCCUCCCAAAGUGCUGGGAUUACAGGUGUGAGCCACUGCACCCAGCCCUCAGGUUUUCCCUUUUUUUACCCCUCCUUUUGAAAAUUUGAUGUGGAAUUUUGCCACCUGCAGCCAGAAGAGUUUUAACUAAUCAGUGCCAUAAAUUUUAUAUAGUUCUCCUUGCAAAAUGUGGAUCAGCCUUUCUCAGCAAAUCCUUUGUCAUAAAGUGCUGAAUUGUAAGUUUGUCAUGAGAAUCACAUGAGAUCAUGCAUGUGAAGAACCUGGCAUUAUCCUCCUCAUAGAAAAAAACCAGUAAAUAUUAACUACAGGAAGCAAGGAAGGAGUGGGGUGAGGGGAAGAAGAAGGGGUACUGAUUUAAAAGAACCCUGGAGUCCUAAGGAUAAUCUAGGAACCCUCAGACCCAAUCCGAUACCCCUAUUCUAAAUGCUCCUAGUGCCCUGUACCUUCCCCUCAUAAGCCUUCAUUAUCAUUGUAAUGAUAUGUUUAUGUAAUAUUUUGAUUAAUGUCUCUCCUUCACUGACCUAGCAGUUCUAGCAGGGCAGUGAUUUUGCUGUGUUGCAUCCCCAGCACCUAGUCUGGUAUGUGGCAUUCAGCAUAUGUUUAUUGAAUGAAUGGCCAUGUGGUUAUUCAGAUCCUCCUUGAUUAUUGGGGUUAGGAUUGUGGCAGAAGUGGCAAAAUCAGGGAGAGUAGUCCCUGUCCCCUCUGUAUCUUAUACACUGCCCACACUCCCAACACACAUACACAUACAGAGAAUUUUGUCUCAAUUAGAUAAUUAACUUCUGCUUGGUUGUAAACCAAACCACUGGUUCUUAAACUUUCAUUGGAUCAUUUUAUUGAAGAAUUAAAUAGUGUGGUUCUGGCCUAAUGUCUGGAAAGCCUUGCAGAGGAGUGGAUUAGGUCUUUGUGAUAAACAGGCAGCCUUCCCUGCUCCUGUGUCUUUAUAAAAUCUAUUUAACUGGAGUAGUCCACCCUCCCUCAGGCUCUUACAGGAAUAUGUUGGAGGCUGUAGGAAGGUGGGAAACCGAGAGGGAAAGGACUGGGCCGCUGGAGACUUCACUCAUUCCCUAGCAAGAAACAAAAGCAGUAAAAGGUGGCCCGAGGACAACCUGAAGCUCACUCCUUCAGCACUUUUGGCUGGAGGUCACUUGUUGGAGCCCCACUCAGAGCUCAGCACACCACCCCACCAGCAGCCUCCUCCUCCCAGCUGAGGCUGCAUUUCAUCCCUUCCCCCAGCCUGCUUUCCCUGAGAUAGGGGAGUGUUUCCCAGGGCCCAUGUGACUUCCACUGGCAAGUGACGAUUACCAAUGGUUUACUAGUCAGUGAAACUACCAAAGGCUUUUGUGCUGUAGUAAUCCUUUUCCUGUUUAAAACUCUGGGGAUUUUCUAAUGUUGCCAAUAGUUUUUCAAGUCAGCAAUUACUGUGUGGAUUAUGUAAUGGCUCGGUAUUAAAAAUAGAAAAGACUGGAGUUUGCAUCUAUUUUAACCAAAUCUUGAAAACAGAGCAAAGGGAGGGGAAGGGUGGAGAGGGAGAGACCAGAGGAGGAGGGAGAAAAAGAGAUCAUGUGACUGGAUAAGACAGCUCACAAUUCACUGUGCCUUUCUCCCACCAUUUGUGGCCCAAGGACCUGUACUCCCUCCUCAGCCUCCUCUAGGGAGGGGUCCUUGAUGAGAAUUCUGAGGACACAAGACCCCUUGUGGAUAUUUCUUAGCUCAGCCUUGGUGUGCUUACCUGCUUCUGACAAGCAAAGUGGCCAAGUAGGGGAGGGAGUUGAAUCUGAUGUCCUCCACUAAGUCCAGGACUCCUAUUUUGUUUUGUUUUGUUUUUGAGACGGAGUCUUGCUCUGUCACCAGGGUGGAGUGCAGUGGCACAAUCUCGGCUCACUGCAACUUCUGCUGCCUGGGUUCAAGUGAUUCCCCUGCCUUAGCCUCCUGAGUAGCUGGGACUGCAGGUGCGCACCACCACGCCUGGCUCAUUUUUUGUAUUUUAGCAGAGAUGGGGUUUCACCAUGUUGGCCAGAAUGGUCUCAAUCUCCUGAGCUUGUGAUCCACCCACCUCAGCCUCCCCAAGUGCUAGGAUUACAGGUGUGAGCUAC
RNAcentral lists this long non-coding RNA (3576 nucleotides) under Homo sapiens (human). Its description in RNAcentral is "PREDICTED lncRNA (TCONS_00158980)". Lineage: Eukaryota; Metazoa; Chordata; Mammalia; Primates; Hominidae. The record is from RNAcentral.